CAGUCGCCGCGGUAAUACGCAGGUGGCAAGCGUUGUCCGGAAUUAUUGGGCGUAAAGGGCUCGCAGGCGGUUUCUUAAGUCUGAUGUGAAAGCCCCCGGCUCAACCGGGGAGGGUCAUUGGAAACUGGGAAACCUGAGUGCAGAAGAGGAGAGUGGAAUUCCACGUGUAGCGGUGAAAUGCGUAGAGAUGUGGAGGAACACCAGUGGCGAAGGCGACUCUCUGGUCUGUAACUGACGCUGAGGAGCGAAAGCGUGGGGAGCGAACAGGAUUAGAUACCCCCGUAGUCCCUGUCUCUUAUAC
RNAcentral lists this ribosomal RNA (301 nucleotides) under uncultured bacterium. RNAcentral's name for it is "partial 16S ribosomal RNA". It matches the Rfam family "Bacterial small subunit ribosomal RNA", at positions 509 to 807 of the family's 1533-position model. The record is from RNAcentral.